Molecule: ribosomal RNA, 424 nt
Filed under: Flabelligena sp. 99 PB
Lineage: Eukaryota; Metazoa; Annelida; Polychaeta; Terebellida; Acrocirridae
Description: partial 16S ribosomal RNA
Rfam family: Bacterial large subunit ribosomal RNA
Source: RNAcentral
GCAUAAUCAUUUGCCUUUUAAUUAAAGGCUAGUAUGAACGGAUAAACGAGAAUUAAGCUGUCUCUUUAACCCACAUAAAAAUUAAUUUUUUUGUGAAAAAGCAAAAAUAUCAAUAUAGGACAAAAAGACCCUAUAGAACUUUAUUAAUAUUAUUUUAUAGCACAUAUUAUAUAUACCGCCUUAACCUAAUUAUAAUUUAGUUGGGGCGACUCAGGAACAUAUAUAACUUCCUUUUAUUAUCAGGCUAAUUAAGCCAGCUAAAUGACCCAUUAUAUGACCACAAGCUAAGUUACCUUAGGGAUAACAGACUAAUUUCCCUUAAGAGCCCAUAUUGACAGGGAAGUUUGGCACCUCGAUGUUGGCUUAGGUACCCCUAAAAGUGAAGCCGCUUUUAAUGGCAGGCUUGUUCCGCCUCUAACUACCU